Molecule: small RNA, 360 nt
Filed under: Histoplasma capsulatum var. duboisii H88
Lineage: Eukaryota; Fungi; Ascomycota; Eurotiomycetes; Onygenales; Ajellomycetaceae
Description: Histoplasma capsulatum H88 hypothetical RNA
Source: RNAcentral
CUAUGGCAUGGAGCUCUGUCCUCUCAUGGUUUUUACUUUGCGUAGGUUGGCUUUUAAAAGCAUGUUGGGCAGUUAGUUACAUAGUUAACUAUGUAGGCUCGCUCAGGGAAAAAAAAUUGUUUGCUCUUAACUGUAAAACCUAGAUUGAGCCCUAUACUAACUAACUACACUACAACUAAACUACCCGUUUUGACGAAUUUGUGGAGAAGUUGGAAGAAGGGUUUUGGUUCCGUGUUGGGGUAUUCAAUGUAAUAUCUCUUUUCUAUAUAUCUAUAUAUCUAACUAUUUGUAUAUAUAUUUAUAUAUUUAUAUUUAAGGGGAAAGAGGGAAUAGGUGUGAUAUUUUUGGCUUAAAAGAUGG